RNAcentral lists this ribosomal RNA (412 nucleotides) under Microbacterium sp. S4-24. Its description in RNAcentral is "bacterial SSU rRNA". It matches the Rfam family "Bacterial small subunit ribosomal RNA", at positions 53 to 478 of the family's 1533-position model. The record is from RNAcentral. Lineage: Bacteria; Bacillati; Actinomycetota; Actinomycetes; Micrococcales; Microbacteriaceae.
ACAUGCAAGUCGAACGGUGAAAGCGGAGUUGCUCUGCUGGAUCAGUGGCGAACGGGUGAGUAACACGUGAGCAAUCUGCCCUUGACUCUGGGAUAAGCGCUGGAAACGGCGUCUAAUACCGGAUACGAGCUGCGAAGGCAUCUUCAGCAGCUGGAAAGAACUUCGGUCAAGGAUGAGCUCGCGGCCUAUCAGCUUGUUGGUGAGGUAACGGCUCACCAAGGCGUCGACGGGUAGCCGGCCUGAGAGGGUGACCSGCCACACUGGGACUGAGACACGGCCCAGACUYCUACGGGAGGCAGCAGUGGGGAAUAUUGCACAAUGGGCGCAAGCUGAUGCAGCAACGCGCGUGAGGGACGACGGCCUUCGGGUUGUAAACCUCUUUUAGCAGSGCAAGAAGCSAAAGUBMCSGUAC